UGUUGCAGGAAUGGUCAUACGAUGACGUGGCGUGGCACGACGCAUGGAGGCGUGGGGAGAACGGCGCUGGAAGCUGUUGCUGUCUAGGGUUUCUUUUUGUUUUUUAGUUUUAGGCUGAUAUGGGUUGGGUAAAAUUGUUGGGCCAUACGGGUUUGUUUUAGGCAUUUGGGCUUUGUAAUACUGGACACUAUGGUUUUUGGACUAUUAUUUCAUUUGGUUUAAUAAAACGGGCCGGGCAAAUUGACCUAGUACAUACGAAAUCCGAUUUUAAAAUUACAUUUUCAUUGCACAGAAUUCAUAGGAUAACCCAAGGGCC
This 316-nucleotide long non-coding RNA is filed under the name Gossypium raimondii (Peruvian cotton). Its description in RNAcentral is "long non-coding RNA (GRAI_LNC003560)". The record is from RNAcentral. Lineage: Eukaryota; Viridiplantae; Streptophyta; Magnoliopsida; Malvales; Malvaceae.